CCACCAGCGCGGGGGCGCGGGGAGAGCCGUCGUCUGACGUGGUGCCGGCACGCAGCGUACCCCAGGAGGCUGUCCUCGUGAGGCCCCUGGCGCUGCAUCUGGCGCACAAGGUGCAUGGGCCCGGGGCCCCUUCAGCGGGGAACCGUCACCGCGGUCGCCGCAGUAGCUAUUGCCGCCGUUGCUGCGGAUCCGUUGGCCGAGGACGCCCGGGAGCAGGCAGCAGCUGACCCUAAGGAGAAGUGGCAGCUGCCGCCGCUGCCGCGGAAGGAAAAUCCCUGGAACAAAAAGGCUACCCAGCACCUGUCCCCAGCCAGGACAGGUCCGCCGCCGCCAGCGCUGGAAACCCUGGAGUCAGAGUUCGGUUCCCUCAAAAUUAUAAAAGCAGGAAAACUUAAGACAAAUUCAACAAGGCUAGUGAUUUCAACGUUAUGGAGAAUUGGCCAACACCAAGUGAAUUAGUGAACACUGGAUGUCAGAGCGUCCUCAGCCAAGGAAAUAAAAAGCCACAAAAUAGAAAAGAAAAAGAAGAGAAGGUUGAAAAGAGAAGUAAAAGAGCAAACAAAACCAGAAAACAAAAUUAAAUGGUCCUGGUGAAAAUGUCAGUGAGGUUGAGGCUCAGUCAAGUAAUCAACAAAAGACAGCUAAUAAGCACAAGUGGAGGCGAGAUAGAGAAAAAAGAGAUGAUCAAGAUGAAGUUUCCAAUGUGAGAAGUGAGGGUGGUAAUAUCCGAGGUUCCUUUACAGGCCCAGGAAGAGACUGAGGAUGGGGAAGAGGAGGAGGCAGAGGAAAUCCUCGAUUGAACUUUAUUUAUUUGGUUAUCAAGAACAUGGUGAAAGGAAUGAUCAACCAUUUCAAACAAAACUUAAUACCAGUAUGAUGUAUUACUGUGAUGAUGGUACAGGUGUAUGGGUGUAUCCUGUGGAAGAAGCAUUGGUUAAAGAGUACAUGAAGUGUCAAAUUGAAAAUUACUUCAAUGUAGAAAAUUUUGAACGAGACUACUUUCUUUGAGGAAAGAUGGAUGAACAAAGUUUCUUGCCUAUUUCCCUGAUUGCUGGUUUUCAACGUGUUCAGGCUCUCACUACAAACCUCAUCUCAUCUCUUAGAGGCACUGAAGGAUGGCAUAGAAGUAGAAAUUGUGAAUGAGAAAAAAGAUAGAACCAGAAAAGUGGCCAAUUCCAGGCCUUCCUCCUUGCAAUGUGCCACAAACAGAUUUCUCUCAACUGAUUGAUUGUCCAGAGUUUGUACCAGGCUGAGCCUUUUGCUCACAUUCAGAGUCUGCCCACAAUUCUCCAAGAAUUGGAAGCCCAUUGAACCCAAAGAAAAAUACUGAAACAAGUAUUCUUCAAACAACGUCUAGAGGGUUGUCUGCCGGUUUGCCUCACUUGGACUCAGAACCUCGGAUAGAAGUAAAAAAGAGACAUCAGCCAGCCCCAGUGAAAUUGAGGGAAUCAGUCUCUGUGCCUGAAGGAUCAUUAAAUCAGCUGUGUUCUUCAGAAGAAACAGAACAAGAAGAACUUGAUUUGUUGUUUGAUGAAGAUAUUGAACAAAUAGGAUGAAAAAAACACAUUAACUGAUUGGUCUGAUAAUGAUUCAGAUUAUGAAAUUGAUGACCAAGACUUAAACAAGAUUUUGAUUGUAACUCAGAAACCAUGUUAUGUGAAAGAACAUCCUGGAGGAGAUCAAAGAGGCAACCACAUGUCUCAGGUAAAAAUUAUGUCUGAACUUGCUAAAGUUAUCAAUGAUGGCUUAUAUUAUUAGGAACAGGAUCUAUGGUUGGAAAACAUGAAAACAAACACACAGCCAUAAAGAUGAAAAUACUAAGAACACCCUUUCUCAUAUAA
This is an RNA transcript of Mandrillus leucophaeus (drill), 1841 nucleotides long. It is a transcript of the gene named la-related protein 1B pseudogene, with no coding region annotated. The record is from RefSeq and is a predicted model, not a curated record. NCBI's taxonomy places the organism in Eukaryota, Metazoa, Chordata, Mammalia, Primates, Cercopithecidae. The transcript is spliced from 2 exons.